Long non-coding RNA from Hypomesus transpacificus, 688 nucleotides. RefSeq lists it as uncharacterized. Lineage: Eukaryota; Metazoa; Chordata; Actinopteri; Osmeriformes; Osmeridae. The record is from RefSeq and is a predicted model, not a curated record. The transcript is spliced from 2 exons.
UUAUAUAUUGUUUUAUUUACGUUUUCUACAUUAAUGGUUUUAUUUUGAAAAACUGAAGUUUAUUUUGACGGAUAACAGGAAGUAGUAUGCAGAGACACAGAUAGUUUCACCUUUCUCAUUGUCGCAUGGAGCACUGCUUCUACUUGCACGUGUUAAUUGAAAAAGUUAGAAACAAGUAUGAAACCAGAAUCUAAUGUCUUGAAAAUGACAAAUGUGUGAGUUGAUGAUUUUGUAUGAUAUGGCUCCUGUUUAGAGGUGGAAGAACCGUCGAUGAAGCACUUUUAUUUUUCUUUAAUCACUUCUGAGAUAAUCCUUCUUGGUCAGGUCUUUUUUUGAGAACUUGGAAAAAACUUGCUUCCAGCCUUGGACAAGCAACAAGGUUGAUGCCGAGAUGAUCCAUUGAUGGCGAGCCUCCCAGUUGAAUCCUGAGCUUUGACCACCCAUUCAACGGAUCCUGUGGUAGGAUUGUGUCAGUCCCAUUGACCGACACCAACAAGAGCCUACUGUGGAUACAUUCACUGACUUUUGACUAUUUCCCCCGACUUACUGACUUGAACAUUGAUCCACGUCGCAAAGGAACAUUUUCCGUAAGGAACAAAGGACAGUUUAUUUUAUUGCUUAUUUGGGCCCAUAGGUUGUAUUGUGCAGUAUUGUAAUAUUGCUCAACUAAAGUUACAUUUAAUUACAA